GUUCACUUCGGCAGCACACCUACUAAAAUUGGAAUGAUACAGAGAAGAUCAGCAUGGCCCCUGUGAAAGGAUGACAUGCAAAUUCACAACGCAUUCCAUAAUUUU
Molecule: small nuclear RNA, 105 nt
Organism: Diceros bicornis minor
Lineage: Eukaryota; Metazoa; Chordata; Mammalia; Perissodactyla; Rhinocerotidae
Source: RefSeq, a predicted model, not a curated record